CACGUAGGAUCCAAGCGUUGCUCGGAAUCACUGGGCUUAAAGAGUGCGUAGGCGGCUAUGCAAGUUGGGUGUGAAAUCCCUCGGCUCAACCGAGGAAUUGCGCUCAAAACUGCAUGGCUUGAGGGAGAUAGGGGUGAGCGGAACUAAUGGUGGAGCGGUGAAAUGCGUUGAUAUCAUUAGGAACAUCGGUGGCGAAAGCGGCUCACUGGGUCUCUUCUGACGCUGAGGCACGAAAGCUAGGGGAGCGAACAGG
This 253-nucleotide unclassified non-coding RNA is filed under the name uncultured Pirellulaceae bacterium. RNAcentral describes it as "contains 16S-23S intergenic spacer region". It matches the Rfam family "Bacterial small subunit ribosomal RNA", at positions 524 to 776 of the family's 1533-position model. The record is from RNAcentral. Lineage: Bacteria; Pseudomonadati; Planctomycetota; Planctomycetia; Pirellulales; Pirellulaceae.